Molecule: long non-coding RNA, 1535 nt
Filed under: Homo sapiens (human)
Lineage: Eukaryota; Metazoa; Chordata; Mammalia; Primates; Hominidae
Description: HSALNT0038759
Source: RNAcentral
UUCCUCUGCAUUUCAUUUGCUGUUCCCUGGCCUGCAAUGCCCCUUCCUUCCCACCUCCCCCGAGGGCCUAGCAGCCCCUCCUACACAGCCCUCUAGCCCCUCUGUGCUCAAAGUGCAUCUGAGGACAUCACCUGAGAGCUGUAGGAGAUGCAGGAUCUCAGGCCCCACCCCAAACCUACUGAAGCCAAAUCUGCUGUUUAACGUGAUCCCUGGAGAUUCAUAAGCAUGUUGUCUGUGCAGCACGGAGUGAGGGGCGGCUCCUCUUCGCUGCACCCCUUCCUGAUUACCCCUAGGCCCAGCCAAAUAAACUCUUCUUCCUGCUCCCUUGUGCCCCAUUUGGACUUCACUCGUAACAAGGGAGUAUAACUGGAUGGUAAAAGGGACUUUUCCUGUUAUCUAGACAUUUCAGCAGAGGCCUCAAAGGCAGAACAAAAUAGUGCAAGGAGCCGCACAUCCGCACAGUGCUGAGACCCUGCCCAGGACAAGCUUGACAAAAAAGAAGAAAAUUGGGUCUUGUUAUGUUGCCCAGGCUGGUCUCCAACUCCUGGCCUCAAGUGAUCCUCCCAGCUUGUCCUUCCAAAGUGUUGGGAUUAUAGGUGUGAGCCACUGUGCCUGGCCAUGUCUGAAUGUUGAAUGUUGACAGCUUCAGUGAAUUGACCCCUCUUUCACCUAUGGGACUUAUGAAGAGAGAAUCUUUCUGGCAUUGCAUAAUCCUUCCCAAGAGUACUUUAGCUGUGGUAACCCUUCUUGUUAUAAAACAUGCCAGGCCGCAGUAUUCCCUUUGGCACCCCCACCCACCUGGAACAAAGCCUGAUGUAAAGUCUGGGUGCGACUCAGACCGGCCUGGGAAAGAAUUUAUUUAAUAAAUGGUGGAAAGUGGCUUCCUUGACGUGUCUUCGAUGGCUUUUUUAUAAAGCAUUUGGUUUGUCUACUCGUCUGUUUUUGCGCCAUCUCUUUCCACAAAGAUGGCUUAUAGCAGGGAUACUUACAACAAAAUGAUGCUGGGAAAACAAAAACAAAGAAGUAGAGAAUUAGGCCUGAGAAAACUAGGAGUAGAGAGUCACGAUUAGAUACAGAGGAGCAUAGAUGUGUAGUCUAGGAAGGCCAACUAAUUGUUAUAGCUGAAAUUCAAAUUCAGUUAGCUAAAAUGUUCCUAGUGUCAAAGGAAGAAUGGGCCACACAGUUGCAUAAUCCUUAGUAUUAGGGAGAAGGAAAAGGUUCCAGUUAUUCAGAGGGAUGUUCUCUUGCCUUAUUCCUUUAAUAAGUAUCUGUUAAAGGCCCACCAUGUGCCAAGCACCAUGCCCGGCAAGCACUGCACUCACCCCCCAGGAACUCAGUGUCUAAAGGAGACUGGGUGAAAGAACUAUAUUUGUGUGCCUAUGAUGUGUCAAAUACUAUGCAUUUAGUUAUGCAGUUACUGUAUGUUAGACACUAUGCAUUUAAUUAUUUACCUGCUGUAUAUCAGACACCAUGCAUUUUCAUUUAACCCUCAUAAGCACUUACAUCAAGUAGACACUGUUACCUCUUUUUUACAG